UGUGUAGUGUAUGUGAUUUUUUUUUAUUUAAAUUUUCAGCAUUUUUUUUUUGUUGGCAAAAUAAGUAUUUACUGGGUUUGAAUUGUUAGAACGUAGAAAAAUGAUAUGUUUUCGAUUUCAGAUUUCGUCUUAUGUUUUGAAUGAAAACUGAAAUUUGUAUAGGGGUUCUUCUUGUUGUUGCAUUGCAUCUCAACAACGCAAAAAACUCAACUAACUCUAGUAUGAUUGUGCUAUGACCUUUCAAAUCAAUCUCAACCAAGAUCUUUAAGAUGCAAAAAAAAAUCAAGAUUGUUCGAGAAUCAGUGAAGAGAUUUGUCAACAAAAAACAAUUGAAGAAUGUUUUUUAGAAGCAGAUCUAGAAGUGGUGGGAAAACAAAAGAGAUAGAAAGAGUUUGGAUCUAGAAGUCGUGCACUUGCGGAUUUUUCACUCAUCCACGGUGGAUGUUACGAGAGACUCAUCCAGAAGCUUUACCAGCUGGAUCGGAUUGGAAGCCAGUUGAAGCAGCGGCGUCAGCACCAUCAAGUUCUUGAAGCACAAGGCCAUUCAUAAAUUUUACCUAUGUUAACUGUGAGUGUGAAAGGCACGUGGGAAUAAGAAUGUAUUUGACAUGAUAUUUUUCUGCAUUCAUUUUCCUUCUAUUGAAAGUAAGUGCGCAUACGUUUUUCCUUUAGUCGAAUGUUGUCUUCGAUUUAUUAUUGUCUUCCUCUUUCUGAAACACUUUGCUGCUGCAACUACUCACGCGGAGGAAUCCUGGGAUAUUGAAGUCUUCGUUUAUGGUUUAUACAAGAUUUGAAAGCAUAUCAUAAUUCUUCUGCAAUGACUGUUUAGUUUUGGUCAUGAUUUGAUGACAUGGUUUUAUUAUGGGAGUGAUUAUGUUUAGACAUUGUUUUAAUAGGUUUCCAUCAGAUUGGACCUGUUAAACGGAGUAGAUCCAACAAUAGUGUAGAUUAAGGGACAUUUGUUGAUAACAAAAUAUUUCAUCCUUGACUAAUGACAAUGUGUUGUUUAUGUCUGAUUCAUUUCAGUUAUGUUGUUUGACCAAAUUAUAGGCAGCAGAGCUUUAUUUCACUUAAU
Molecule: long non-coding RNA, 1075 nt
Organism: Medicago truncatula (barrel medic)
Lineage: Eukaryota; Viridiplantae; Streptophyta; Magnoliopsida; Fabales; Fabaceae
Exons: 3
Source: RefSeq, a predicted model, not a curated record